UUCAGAGCUUUCGCUGAUAAAAUUUCUGGUAUUUGAUAGAAUCUAUGAUGCCAUGUAUCUAAAAAAAAAGAUGUCGAGGACCUCCCGGAGAAAAAUAGGCCCAUAAUUUUAUAGAUCUUUUUUAGGCUUUCUGAUCAGUGUUCCCAACUAAGAUAAAACAAUGUGUUUUAUAUGGAACAGUCUGUUGUCCAGUGGUGUCACAGUGUCUGGUUUGUGUAUCUCUGUGUGUCCACUGGAGUUCUCACUUCCCCAUAUGGUCUCCCCACUUCAGGAACUGUUAUCAUACUAGCCUUUAUCUGGACUAAUCACUGUUCAUUGCACACAGCUGGUCCCACUCACAUUGUUUGCACCGGUCUCUAUAUACCCGAAAGACUCCAUCACACCUAGAUCCAGCGGUCUGGGAUUUCGAAUCUGUUCCCCAGCCACCAUGGAUGAGUGGAGGAGGAGACUCCUGAAAUUAACCACCCUUCAUCUAAGUGGGUGUGAGGUGGGUGACCGGGCUCAAGUGUUUUAGACCAUGGCAGUAGGGCUGGAUUAUGAUGCAGCGUUGAAGGACUGAAUAACUGCCUUGAUGACCCUCUGCCUCAGUGGGAGAUGAAGGCGCUUGAAAUCCUGGACUUUUGAGGCUUCACCAAAAACCUACACCAUCGUAAUCAAUGGGAUACACCAGCCACAACCGUCUCUCCAGACAUGAUGGUUGACUCUACGCCUGUGUCUCCAGACAAGAUGGCCACCAGCCCAGCGCCACUAAACAAGAUGACAGCCAAAGUUGACCUUCCAGAGUCAAGUCAGGUCCCCGUUGGCCUUCCAGAGUCAAGUCAGGUCCCCGUUGAUGUUCCAGAGUCAUGUCAAACCACAGUUAGACUUCAUGAACAAAGUCAAGCCACAGUUGAUCUUUAAGAGCCCAGUCUAAUCAUUACCAAUCUUCCAGAACUUCAUCACUUCUCAACAGAUCAUCCAGAGCCUCGUCAUGUCUCAGCUGAACUUCCAGAAUCUCCUCACAUCCUGUCUGUUGCACCCAGCAGUGUUCUCUCAGCCUGUUGUGUUGCUGUCAAGGAGACUGUUAUUGCUAUGGAACCUCCAGAGGUGGCGGAAACUGCUGCAGAAUCUUUGGAGGUGUCAGUAGUACCCAUCCAUGAACUCACCGCCUGCCCUGUCAUGGUUAUGAAGGCCAUUUGGGAACUCCCUAAUCCCCUCAUCAUGGCCACAGAGGCCAGCAUUGACCUGUUCAUGUUCUCUGUUUCAGUCCUACCUGACAGACUUGCUCUCCUGUGCCAUUGACUCCGUUGUGGCGGUUCUCUGCUCUGCACUGGUGGGCUUCUGUCUUGUCUGCUCGGCUGUGGUGGUCCUCUGCUACGCCCUUGUGGGUUUCUGUCUCAUCUGCUCGGCUGUGGUGGUCCUUGUCUUAUGUCACUCUGUAUUUCGUGUUCCCUUGCGGAUAUUCAUGUUUCUUGUUUUGACUGCUUACCUGGAUUUAGACCUUUGCCUGACUGUAAUAUGAUAUUUGGAUUCCCCUAAUAAACACUGCAUUUGGA
Carassius auratus (goldfish) is the source of this 1535-nucleotide long non-coding RNA. RefSeq lists it as uncharacterized. The transcript has 2 exons. Lineage: Eukaryota; Metazoa; Chordata; Actinopteri; Cypriniformes; Cyprinidae. The record is from RefSeq and is a predicted model, not a curated record.